Molecule: long non-coding RNA, 1786 nt
Filed under: Lactuca sativa (garden lettuce)
Lineage: Eukaryota; Viridiplantae; Streptophyta; Magnoliopsida; Asterales; Asteraceae
Description: long non-coding RNA (LSAT_LNC006284)
Source: RNAcentral
UUCUUUACUUACUCUUGUUUCCUUUAGAUAAUCGCCGGGUAUCUCAGAAGGUAUCUUUCUUACUCCUUCUCUUUUGUUUAUGCAACCUUUCAAUCAUGGGCAACAAGAUCGCUCGUUCUCGCAUUAGUAUCACUGCCCCUUCCGAUAACAACUUCAUCGAUCAAAAGAUCAUGGUCUAUGAUGAGACUUGCUCCUUUAAUGAUGAGGAUAUCAGGUUGCUAAAAUCUAAUAGGGAUUUUCCCAUGGAUACAAUCUUUACGACCUAUGAUGCUUUGACUCAGUUGGACUUUGUUUCACUGUCCUGGGUAUGUUUCCCUAAAUACCCAUUUUCUUUGGGUUUGAAAUAACCUUUCUCCGGUAUCAUCUCUGAGUUUUUUGAAAUCACUAAAUGUCAUACAUCCAAGCUAUGCCUGUUAUUUAUAGAAACUUGUCUCGGAUCCAUCUAUUGAAUCAAUCUAAUGAUCUAGGCAUAUGCUUAGCUGAGCUAUAUCAUGUUUAUGAUCUUUCAACCUUUGGGAACUCCUACUUUUUUCUCAAGGUCAAACCCAAUAAAUCUCCUCUUAUUUUGAAAUCAUAACAUAAUGACGAAGCUUGGAAAGAGAAGUAUUUUUUUGUGAGGCAUGAAUCUAUUCAUAGUGAGGAUCUCCUGCCAAAAACAUGGGUUAAAAGGGUAGGAUUUACCUGUUACUUCUAAGGAUCCUGAUAUUCACUUUCUUAUUUUGUUUAUUGUGAUGCAACAUUCAAGUGUGAGGAAGUUGCUCCCAUUGUUGAGGAUACCGCUGAAAAAGUUAAAAAAUUUCUCACUCUCUAUGUGGUUGAUAGAUCUUUCAAGCUUGAACACUCCAGUGUCCAAAAAGGCUCUUCCACCACUGCUUCAAUGGCUAUCAUUAAUGAUCCUUCUUUUUCUUAUUAUUUUUUUUAUUUUUUGGAUCCAAAACUAAUGAGUAUCCUUUGCAACACAUAAGAUCCAAUGUUACUUGCUCGUCCUCAAUUUGUCCUCUCUGAUCUGGAAGAUAACAUGUCCAACAGUCUGAUCGUGGUUAAGAAGGAAAAGGUUGCCCCUCUCUUCCUCCGAAGAGGGCUCAAAUUGAUCUCACUAUAAAGACCCUAGGUUCCUGGAAGAAGAAGACUGUUAAGGCCACAGAUUUGAGCCUAGAAAAUCUCAGAGCUGAUGAGGCACUCAAGAAGCUAGUAUCUUUCUCUCAGGCUGUAAGUAUUUCUUGAAUUAUGGUCUUUGAUUUUUAUUUUCUGCUCUCGCUUUCACUAAUGUUGUUCUCGUUUCAGGACUUCAACCACAUUCCCAGUCCACUGCUGAUCUAAAGGUCAAGGCUGAGAAGGACGAGCUAGCCUUAAAUGAGCAAGAAGGGGUGUAGAAGGUCACCACUGAGGAUCUCCUAAUGAGGGUGGAGCUGUUGAGGCAAUAAAAGGUUCAGAAAGAGGAGGGGCAUGCUGUAAAGAUUGCAGAGGUGAUUGUUGAGGUGAAGGGUAACGUUGUUGUGGCCAUCUGGAAAGCGAAGAUCAAACUUGAAGAGGAUGUGGCUAAUGCGGGAUCCUAGAAUGUGGUUGGUUGGUGUGAACCCCUAGCCAAAUUGAUUAGUGGGCCUGUUAGUACCAAUCAGGAUCCUGCAGGGCAGUCGAAGGUGGGAUGAGAGGAGAAAAAGGCAGAGAAGGUUCCAGGUGAUGGCAAUCAGACCGUAGAUUAGGUUUGAUUUAAAAAACAAUUCGAAUGCUUUUUGGGUUGUAAGAAAACUUUUUACUCUUCUUUUAUGGUGUUGGUGGGCAACCC